GAUGAAGAACGCAGCAAAAUGCGAUACUUGGUGUGAAUUGCAGAAUCCCGUGAAUCAUCGAGUCUUUGAACGCACAUUGCGCCCCCUGGUAUUCCGGGGGGCAUGCCUGUCCGAGCGUCAUUGCUGCCCUCAAGCACGGCUUGUGUGUUGGGCCUCCGCCCCCCGGCUCCCGGGGGGCGGGCCCGAAAGGCAGCGGCGGCACCGCGUCCGGUCCUCGAGCGUAUGGGGCUUCGUCACCCGCUCCGUAGGCCCGGCCGGCGCCCGCCGGCGACCCCCCUCAAUCUUUCCAGGUUGACCUCGGAUCAGGUAGGGAUACCCGCUGAACUUAAGCAUAUCAAUAAGCGGAGGA
Molecule: unclassified non-coding RNA, 349 nt
Filed under: soil metagenome
Description: partial contains 5.8S ribosomal RNA, internal transcribed spacer 2, and large subunit ribosomal RNA
Rfam family: 5.8S ribosomal RNA (bases 1-120)
Source: RNAcentral